UAGCAUAUCAAUAAGCGGAGGAAAAGAAACCAACAGGGAUUGCCCCAGUAACGGCGAGUGAAGCGGCAACAGCUCAAAUUUGAAAUCUGGCCCCAGGCCCGAGUUGUAAUUUGCAGAGGAUGCUUUUGGCGCGGUGCCUUCCGAGUUCCCUGGAACGGGACGCCAUAGAGGGUGAGAGCCCCGUACGGUUGGACACCAAGCCUUUGUAAAGCUCCUUCGACGAGUCGAGUAGUUUGGGAAUGCUGCUCUAAAUGGGAGGUACAUUUCUUCUAAAGCUAAAUAUUGGCCAGAGACCGAUAGCGCACAAGUAGAGUGAUCGAAAGAUGAAAAGCACUUUGAAAAGAGGGUUAAACAGCACGUGAAAUUGUUAAAAGGGAAGCGCUUGUGACCAGACUUGCGUCCGGUGAAUCACCCAGCUCUCGCGGCUGGGGCACUUCGCCGGCACAGGCCAGCAUCAGCUUGCCGUCGGGGACAAAAGCUUCAGGAACGUGGCUCCUCUCGGGGAGUGUUAUAGCCUGUUGCACAAUACCCUUCGGCGGGCUGAGGUACGCGCUCCGCAAGGAUGCUGGCGUAAUGGUCAUCAGCGACCCGUCUUGAAACACGGACCAAGGAGUCAACCUUAUGUGCGAGUGUUUGGGUGUUAAACCCCUACGCGUAAUGAAAGUGAACGCAGGUGAGAGCUUCGGCGCAUCAUCGACCGAUCCUGAUGUUCUCGGAUGGAUUUGAGUAAGAGCAUAUAGGGUUGGACCCGAAAGAAGGUGAACUAUGCGUGUGUAGGGUGAAGCCAGAGGAAACUCUUGGUGGAGGCUCGCAGCGGUUCUGACGUGCAAAUCGAUCGUCAAACAUGCGCAUGGGGGGCGAAAGACUAAUCGAAACCUCCUA
Molecule: ribosomal RNA, 882 nt
Filed under: Colletotrichum salicis
Lineage: Eukaryota; Fungi; Ascomycota; Sordariomycetes; Glomerellales; Glomerellaceae
Description: LSU rRNA
Rfam family: Eukaryotic large subunit ribosomal RNA
Source: RNAcentral